AAAACAUCUUUUUUUGUUAAUAAUUUUAAAUUUAACCUGCUCUAUGAGUUUACUUAAAUGGCCGCGGUAUAUUGACCGUGCAAAGGUAGCAUAAUCAUUAGGUUGUUAAUUGCAGUCUUGUAUGAAUGGUUGGACGAGAUAUUAUCUGUCUCGGUAUUUAUUUAUUUAAUUUAAAUUUUAAGUUAGAAUGCUUAAAUUUUUUUAUAGGACGAGAAGACCCUUUAGAUCUUUAAUUGAUUUUAUGUUUAUUAUAUUUUGUUUUGUUUAUUUUAAUAUUUUUUUAUUUUUUGUUGGGGUGACAUGGUGAUAUAAUUAACUCAUUAUUUUAUUUAACAAUUAUUUUUGUUUAUUUGACCUUUUUAUUAGUGUUAUAAGAUUUAGAUACCUAAGGGAUAACAGCGUAAUUCUUUUUGAGAGUUCAAAUCGACGAUGGAGAUUGCGACCUCGAUGUUGGAUUAAGAUUAUAGUUAGGUGUAGUUGCUUAAUUGUAGGUCUGUUCGACCUUUAAAUUCUUACA
This 517-nucleotide ribosomal RNA is filed under the name Ophicrania sp. n. A JAR-2018. RNAcentral describes it as "partial 16S ribosomal RNA". The stretch from base 392 to 517 matches the Rfam family "Bacterial large subunit ribosomal RNA", at positions 2473 to 2600 of the family's 2925-position model. Lineage: Eukaryota; Metazoa; Arthropoda; Insecta; Phasmatodea; Phasmatidae. The record is from RNAcentral.